RNAcentral lists this ribosomal RNA (338 nucleotides) under uncultured bacterium. Its description in RNAcentral is "bacterial SSU rRNA". It matches the Rfam family "Bacterial small subunit ribosomal RNA", at positions 29 to 395 of the family's 1533-position model. The record is from RNAcentral.
AACGAACGCUGGCGGCAGGCCUAACACAUGCAAGUCGAACGCUCCAGCAAUGGAGAGUGGCAGACGGGUGAGUAACGCGUGGGAACCUUCCCUAUGGUUCGGAAUAGCUCAGGGAAACUUGAGGUAAUACCGGAUAAGCCCUUCGGGGGAAAGAUUUAUCGCCAUUGGAUGGGCCCGCGUAGGAUUAGCUAGUUGGUGAGGUAACGGCUCACCAAGGCGACGAUCCUUAGCUGGUCUGAGAGGAUGAUCAGCCACACUGGGACUGAGACACGGCCAGACUCCUACGGGAGGCAGCAGUGGGGAAUAUUGGACAAUGGGCGCAAGCCUGAUCCAGCCAU